UACGUAGGGGGCAAGCGUUGUCCGGAUUUAUUGGGCGUAAAGAGCGUGUAGGCGGCUAUACAGGUCCGCUGUGAAAACUCGAGGCUCAACCUCGAGACGUCGGUGGAAACCGUAUGGCUAGAGUCCGGAAGAGGAGAGUGGAAUUCCUGGUGUAGCGGUGAAAUGCUUAGAUAUGACAUAGAACACCAAUUGCGAAGGCAGCUCGCUACACGAAUAUUGACUCUGAGGCACGAAAGCGUGGGGAUCAAACAGG
This 253-nucleotide ribosomal RNA is filed under the name uncultured bacterium. RNAcentral's name for it is "partial 16S ribosomal RNA". It matches the Rfam family "Bacterial small subunit ribosomal RNA", at positions 524 to 776 of the family's 1533-position model. The record is from RNAcentral.